UUGGGCCCAUACCCCAACAAUGAGGGGCUAAUCCUUCCUCUCCUAACCA
RNAcentral lists this transfer RNA (49 nucleotides) under Crocodylus mindorensis (Philippine crocodile). Its description in RNAcentral is "partial tRNA-Met". The record is from RNAcentral. Lineage: Eukaryota; Metazoa; Chordata; Crocodylia; Crocodylidae.